Molecule: long non-coding RNA, 337 nt
Organism: Oryzias melastigma (Indian medaka)
Lineage: Eukaryota; Metazoa; Chordata; Actinopteri; Beloniformes; Adrianichthyidae
Exons: 5
Source: RefSeq, a predicted model, not a curated record
UUUUCAGCUCUUCGCCUCUGAGCCUGGGUCCAGUGUGGAUUACACUCAAGGACCGAGGCCUGGACAGCCUCCCACCCGUGGUUUAUAAAGUGCUGGGUCAAGACCUGGUAAUUAAGUACACACAAUUGGUGGACUGGACUGAUCCCCUAGUGGGUCGACACAAAGGGAAUAGAAGGGGACGUCUGGAUGGAUCUUUGCUGUAGAUCCUGUGAAACCUCAGCAGCUGGGACUUCACAAGACCUGCAAAAGUUUCACUGCUGCAGUCAGACACUAUAGGUCGGCCAGGGGGGGUCACAAAGGGGAUGCUCCAGGAGGCCGGCUCUUUGUGGAUUUUGGG